This 251-nucleotide unclassified non-coding RNA is filed under the name Hevea brasiliensis (rubber tree). The record is from RNAcentral. Lineage: Eukaryota; Viridiplantae; Streptophyta; Magnoliopsida; Malpighiales; Euphorbiaceae.
UUAAUUUAUUCGGUGGAUGAACUUUAACGACCAUCUCAGUGACUGUCAUUCACGUCUCCUCCCUGUUUGGGCAAAAGCUUUAUUAUUUUUGAUACCGUUGACUGGGUUCUCGACUAAUUUUGGCCCUCUAUGUAUUUUCAGUCCGGAUUUUUACCGCACUAAUUUGUUCUUAACGAGCCACCACUGCCGCUGCUCGCCACCCUUUUUUGGGGUUUUUAUUUUGUUUUUUUUGUCACUCUAUUUGGGUGAGC